UGCAAUGAAGAGUGAAAGUGGAGAUGCGCAACGAAUCGUGGUAUUGUGAUGAUGAAGAGUUCGUGAUGAUGAAUGAAAAAGUGAAGGUACCAAACUCUUUUUGAAACUUUGUUUGCUCUUCUCCGCCUAUAAUUUUCGUUUUUAUGAUCGUGUUACUCGGUUGUUAUGAGGGUUGAAAAAGUUGUUAGUUGGUUCAGGAAAUUGGAGGUGGUUGGAGAGUUCUUGAAGUGUUUGUUAAGGGUUCUGAAGGUGAAAGUUAGAAGUUGGAGGUAUCAAGGUUCAGGUGAAUUUAGCUAUGUUGGAAUGAAGGGAAGGUUAGAGAGGAGGUUGGAUUUCUGUUAUCGUUUUGUGAAGUCAAGUUGGGGAUAUUUGUGCCAUUCGGUUCAGGAGGUUGGGAUUUUGGAAUUCAAUUUUGAGUUGUUGGAGGGAAGUUGAGAAUUGGUUAGGGAAGGUUUUUUUGGGUAGCAAGGUGAUUGUGUUAUCAAUUGGAGGUUGAAGGUGUUCUUGGGAGAAGUCUUGUUGAAGGUUCAGUUAGUUUUUGACCGGUUAGUUCAAGAGGGUUUGCCCGUUAUAUUAAUGGUUAUGUUUUCCCAUUUUAUGCAGGUUUUUUUGGUGGUUUGUGCAGGUUAGAAGAGAUUUUCAUGUCUGUAUUCGUUUCUGUUUUUGAUUCCCGUUUUCAAGUCUGAUGUGGUGGGCUCUAGAGGUUAGGAUUCAGUUCGAAUGUGGAGGCUUUGGAG
Molecule: long non-coding RNA, 737 nt
Filed under: Lathyrus oleraceus (garden pea)
Lineage: Eukaryota; Viridiplantae; Streptophyta; Magnoliopsida; Fabales; Fabaceae
Description: Pisum sativum (pea) long non-coding RNA (PSAT_LNC009860)
Source: RNAcentral